Pan paniscus (pygmy chimpanzee) is the source of this 102-nucleotide unclassified non-coding RNA. It matches the Rfam family "Y RNA". Rfam says of the family: Y RNAs are components of the Ro ribonucleoprotein particle (Ro RNP), in association with Ro60 and La proteins. The Y RNAs and Ro60 and La proteins are well conserved, but the function of the Ro RNP is not known. In humans the RNA component can be one of four small RNAs -- hY1, hY3, hY4 and hY5. The record is from Ensembl. NCBI's taxonomy places the organism in Eukaryota, Metazoa, Chordata, Mammalia, Primates, Hominidae.
GGCUGAUCCAAAGGUAGUGAGUUGACUUUUACAGUUAGCUACAGAUCAUACUGUUUGUUCUAUUCUUUCACCCUUCUCGCUGCUGCAUUUGACUAGUCCAAA